Non-coding RNA from Corchorus olitorius, 107 nucleotides. Lineage: Eukaryota; Viridiplantae; Streptophyta; Magnoliopsida; Malvales; Malvaceae. The record is from Rfam.
ACUCCAUGAUGUGGACAUUUUCGUUGCAAAUCCUUGAAUCUUUCCCAAGCAUCAUAAAGUAUUUCAUUGUCACGCUGCUUGAAGUUAGUGAUGUCAGUUUUUAGCUU